GAGCCUGUUCUGUGAAGCAUAUCUGGAAUAUAAGGUUUUAUAUAGUCGCUAUGGCUCCAGUUCUACCACCCACAAAUUCAUCCUUAUCAGUUGUUAACUGAAUGGGCAUGCAGAUGCUGUGGAGGUUAGGACAAAGUUCCAGCUAGCUUUAAGAAGAGCUUGUAGGGAAGAAUUCCAGUGGGACAGCAUGUACCUCUUUUCUAAGGACAAGAUCAGGACCUGAGAACCAAACCACGUUGUCAUGUGAAGCUUGGCUGUGAAAAUACCUGUCUGCUGCUGUGCGAAAUUGCCAGCAGUUGGAACACCAACAGAUCAGUCUGUAGGAGCAAUGUCGAUUUUUGAAGUUUGUACACAUGACCCCAUUUAACAGAGAGGGAGCUAAGAAGUAAGAGAUGAAAUGAUGUGCUCUGGAC
Molecule: long non-coding RNA, 413 nt
Filed under: Gallus gallus (chicken)
Lineage: Eukaryota; Metazoa; Chordata; Aves; Galliformes; Phasianidae
Description: long non-coding RNA NONGGAT007273
Source: RNAcentral